This 133-nucleotide ribosomal RNA is filed under the name Pteropus alecto (black flying fox). Lineage: Eukaryota; Metazoa; Chordata; Mammalia; Chiroptera; Pteropodidae. The record is from RNAcentral.
GUCUAUGGCCAUGCCAUGCUGAACAAGCCCAAUCCCGUCUGAUCUCGGAAGCUAAGCAGGGUCAGCUAAGCAGGGUCGGGCCUGGUUAGUACUUGGAUGAGAGACCAUCUAGGAAGACCAAGUGCUGUAGGCA